AUCGCUUCUCAACCUUUGGCUAUGAUCAAGUGUAAUAUCUGUUCUUAUUAGUUUAAUAUCUGAUACAUCCCCUAUUUGAAAGCUAUAUAUUAAGUGGAUUUGGGGGGGGGGAGCCCUGGAAACUCCUUAGAGCUUUCAAGGCAAGAGAUGUCUAGAAGUCAUUUGCCCUUGCAUGCCUCUUCAUCA
This is a small nuclear RNA of Heteronotia binoei (common prickly gecko), 186 nucleotides long. RefSeq annotates it as U2 spliceosomal RNA. The record is from RefSeq and is a predicted model, not a curated record. NCBI's taxonomy places the organism in Eukaryota, Metazoa, Chordata, Lepidosauria, Squamata, Gekkonidae. The transcript has a single exon.